CAAAAACACAACCUUUCUUUCUUCUUCGACAUUGUUCUUCUUCCUGAACUUUCUCUGUCAAUCAAAGCAGAAACUUCAUCUUCUUCGAUGAUGAUAAUUUGGACUUCAAAUUUCUACUCGAAUCCAUGCAAUUCAUGAUGAAGAUGAUGAUUUGAUUGAAUCAAUUUUCGAUUUCAAAGAUGGUAAUGUGACUAAUGUCGAUCUCCACAAAUUUUUUAACGCUGGUAAUGCAAAUGCUGUUCGGAAUCAAUCCAAUUGAUGGUUUUUCAUCUCCUUCGAUUAGAUGUUCGUGAGUUUUAGUUUUCAUCAUGCAAUAACAAGAGCCAUCUAACAAUUUGGAUUUCAUGAUGCUACCUCGCAUAAACUUUAUACCUAUUCCUACUUUUUUAUUUAGGUUUGUACUCUGCGCCCAACUCCUGCAUAUAGUCGUAACUGAAUAGUCACGAUUCCUUAUCGUCUUCCUUUGACAAAAGUGUGGGUAGCAUUGUCUCUAUAUCCUCCAACGACAUUUGAGUAGCAUCCCACUUUGCUUGCUGCGUCCGUUUUUAUCGUCACAUAAAAUGAAAUAGGCCAAGGUCAUUGCAGCCUUUCAUAUGUUUAUGAAUGCGAAAGAAGAUUCUUAAGAUUGUUAUGCAAUGAUCUGCGCAAGAGAUUGGUAUACCUUGAAAACAGAGGUGACUUUUUCGCACCAUGAGGUGUUUUUUUCCGACUGUGACUGUACCUUUUUACUUCUUUGCUUUUGAUUUUAUAUCAGUUGCCCUAACUGGAGCUUACAGUAUGUUGUUAGUUUCAUUCUUUGUGAUGAAGUCUUCCUUUAAUCAGGUAUUUAAAACAUUUCACCUGUAGCUUUGACAUCUGCAGUUGGAAAAUUUUCACUUUUUAAACCAUUUGUUGGUAUAAAGAACCAUUACUACGCAUAGAUUUUGGGAUGUGUAUUUUUGCUGUAAGGUGUUGUUAUAAAGAACCAUUAUUAUGCAUAUGUUUUGGAAUGUGUAUUUUUGAUGUAAGGUAAAUUAGGGUAUAUAGAGUUUCGAAUUUGUAUAUAUGGUAUUUGGUUAAUUACUGUGUAUGGUUUUCUUGAUUUGCAAGUUUGUAGGAUUAACCGGGAAAAGUAUUAGCAAGGAAUGAGUUCUUUAGAUCUUUGUGGCCUGCGAAUUUCUCAAAGAGAAAGUUUACAGCUAAAGGCCGUCACUCAUCAGCUGCCUUGAUCAAGGCAGCUGGGAUUCAACUACGCCUUGAGUGUCGUCGCUGGAUUGAGUACCAUAAAUGUUUAUCCAGAUGUCUUAAUCUAUCGGACAGUAUUGUUGAAAUAUUAAAUACUGAAUGAGAAAGAAAAAAUUCUUUGUUUUACUGAUGUGUUGGGAUCAAAUUUUUUGCAAUAUCAUAGGUUCAGUGUGACAGGUGCCGAAAGAUUUAGUGUUUGCCGAUGUGCAAAGCACGUGCACUCUACUUGUUUAUGUAAAAGUCUUAUGAUAUUAAUGAGGUUGAUGUUUUUUCACACAGAUCAUCUGCAAAAAGGUACCUGGUACGUGUUGCAGUUCAAGAUGCAUCCAGAUCUCCUAUGUUUGUUGCAGGCAUUCAGGACGAAAACAUGCUUGGAUUAUCAGCAGUUGAGCAGUCCUACUGGUCACUACUAUCAUUGAACUAUGAAAGCAACAGAGAGACAUUCGUAUCAAGUUAAAUAUUCUGCAUGACACUUAAAUUCUCACUAUUGUCACUCAUUGUUCCUGCGACGUUGCUCGGAACAACACACGUAUUAUGCAUCAUAAUUUACUAUUCCAGAAAAUCCAAUGAAAAUCAGCUUCGUAGUUUUUUUGAAUUGAUUCAUCAUAUCUU
This is an RNA transcript of Papaver somniferum (opium poppy), 1836 nucleotides long. RefSeq lists it as uncharacterized. The transcript is spliced from 5 exons. NCBI's taxonomy places the organism in Eukaryota, Viridiplantae, Streptophyta, Magnoliopsida, Ranunculales, Papaveraceae. The record is from RefSeq and is a predicted model, not a curated record.